RNAcentral lists this long non-coding RNA (520 nucleotides) under Theobroma cacao (cacao). Its description in RNAcentral is "long non-coding RNA (TCAC_LNC005157)". The record is from RNAcentral. Lineage: Eukaryota; Viridiplantae; Streptophyta; Magnoliopsida; Malvales; Malvaceae.
AAAGAGAUGCUGAGGAGAAAACCCACCAAAAUUGAAGUCAAGCUCGAAGACAAACAGGAACUUGAAGAUUCCCGCAAACCCUCUCCUCCUCCCCCCACAGCCACUGCCUCUUCCUCAACCUCCUCCUCCCUACUCCACCUCCUCGACCGCUCCCACCCUAACCCCACCGCCAAAGUCCAACGCAUCGGCCUCUCCCCCUAAUGGAAGUCGAAGUAAAACUCCGCCUCCGAGACGCCGCCGCUCACCGUCAGCUAACCACCAUCCUGUCUCCUUUCCUCUCCAAAACCCUUCACCAACAAAACCUCUUCUUCGACACCUCGACAAAUACCCUUUCCUCUCAACUUUCGGUUCUUCGCCUCCGCUUCCUCAACAAUGAUGCCCGCUGCAUCGUUUCCCUCAAAUCCAAACCCACUCUGGUAGACGGUGUCAGCCGCGUGGAGGAAGAUGAGGAGGAACUAGACCCGUGUGUCGCACGCGCUUACGUGGAGGACCCGGUGAGGUUGGGGAAGAUUGAGUCGAG